UGGGGAAUAUUGCACAAUGGGCGCAAGCCUGAUGCAGCCAUGCCGCGUGUAUGAAGAAGGCCUUCGGGUUGUAAAGUACUUUCAGCGGGGAGGAAGGGAGUAAAGUUAAUACCUUUGCUCAUUGACGUUACCCGCAGAAGAAGCACCGGCUGACUCCGUGCCAGCAGCCGCGGUAAUACGGAGGGUGCAAGCGUUAAUCGGAAUUACUGGGCGUAAAGCGCACGCAGGCGGUUUGUUAAGUCAGAUGUGAAAUCCCCGGGCUCAACCUGGGAACUGCAUCUGAUACUGGCAAGCUUGAGUCUCGUAGAGGGGGGUAGAAUUCCAGGUGUAGCGGUGAAAUGCGUAGAGAUCUGGAGGAAUACCGGUGGCGAAGGCGGCCCCCUGGACGAAGACUGACGCUCAGGUGCGAAAGCGUGGGGAGCAAACAGG
This 429-nucleotide ribosomal RNA is filed under the name Chloroflexota bacterium. RNAcentral's name for it is "Chloroflexi bacterium partial 16S ribosomal RNA". It matches the Rfam family "Bacterial small subunit ribosomal RNA", at positions 355 to 776 of the family's 1533-position model. Lineage: Bacteria; Bacillati; Chloroflexota. The record is from RNAcentral.